CCAACCUACGGGAGGCAGCAGUGGGGAAUAUUGGACAAUGGGCGCAAGCCUGACCCAGCAACGCCGCGUGAAGGAAGAAGGCUUUCGGGUUGUAAACUUCUUUUAAGAGGGAAGAGUAGAAGACGGUACCUCUUGAAUAAGCCACGGCUAACUACGUGCCAGCAGCCGCGGUAAUACGUAGGUGGCAAGCGUUGUCCGGAUUUACUGGAUGUAAAGGGCGUGGAGCCGGGCCGGCAAGUCAGAUGAGAAAUCCCAAGGCUCAACAUUGGAACUGCAU
This 277-nucleotide ribosomal RNA is filed under the name uncultured bacterium. RNAcentral describes it as "partial 16S ribosomal RNA". It matches the Rfam family "Bacterial small subunit ribosomal RNA", at positions 332 to 626 of the family's 1533-position model. The record is from RNAcentral.